UACGGAGGAUCCGAGCGUUAUCCGGAUUUAUUGGGUUUAAAGGGUGCGUAGGCGGCCUGUUAAGUCAGGGGUGAAAGACGGUAGCUCAACUAUCGCAGUGCCCUUGAUACUGAUGGGCUUGAAUGUACUAGAGGUAGGCGGAAUGUGACAAGUAGCGGUGAAAUGCAUAGAUAUGUCACAGAACACCAAUUGCGAAGGCAGCUUACUAUGGUUUUAUUGACACUGAGGCACGAAAGCGUGGGGAUCAAACAGG
This 253-nucleotide ribosomal RNA is filed under the name uncultured bacterium. RNAcentral's name for it is "partial 16S ribosomal RNA". It matches the Rfam family "Bacterial small subunit ribosomal RNA", at positions 524 to 776 of the family's 1533-position model. The record is from RNAcentral.